Molecule: long non-coding RNA, 14979 nt
Filed under: Gossypium barbadense (sea-island cotton)
Lineage: Eukaryota; Viridiplantae; Streptophyta; Magnoliopsida; Malvales; Malvaceae
Description: long non-coding RNA (GBAR_LNC017422)
Source: RNAcentral
AGAACUAAAGAUAAGAAUAGACAAAAGAAACCUCUUUUGCUUUGAUCUUUGAUUAAUCUCCAAAAACUAGCCUUUCCAAGAAACAAAAAUAACCUUUUUUACAAAAAAACACCUCCAAAAAACAAAAAAAACCUCCUCCAAAACAAAGAACAAUCCUUCUCCAAAAAACCAAAAACCCACCCCUAAAAACAAAGUCUUGAAUGGCUUUUAUAGCCAAAUUUUACAAGUGGAGUGGUUGGGGUGGUUUAGGUGGCCAAGGGUGGUGGAGUUGGUGGCUAAGGUGGGUGGCCAACAAAGGUGGUGGAGUAGGUGGCCAAGGUUUUUAUUUAUUUAUUUAUUUAUUUUUUGUGUUUGGGUUGGGAUUAGGUUGGGCCAAAUUGGGUUUGGUUAGGGUUGGUUUAAGUUGGGCCAAAAUUGAGCCUUUACAGCUGCCCCUCUUUGCUCAUUUUCGUGUAACGAGAAUAGAGCAAAGACAUCAAAAGGGCCAAUUUUGCCCGGUCUUGCCGAGUCUUGACUUUUUGGUGCUCAUCUUCUUCCAGUAGCCUUAUUCCAGUCUGCUACGUCUUGUUGCUUCGAUCCACUCUACUGCAACUUCAGAUACGCCUUGUAGCUUCAAUCUACUCUGCUACGACUCCAUGGGGAUGAGAUUUGUGUUUUUAGUCUGCUCCACUACUACUUAGGGAGAUAAGACUUGAUGCGAUCUGCUUCACUAUUUCUUAGGGAAAUAAGAUCUGUGGUUUUAUCUGCUCCACUACUGCUUAGGGAGAUAAGACUUAAUGCGAUCUACUCCACUACUGCUUAGGGAGAUAAGAUUGUAAUCUUCGAUCUAUUCCACUGUUGCCCAAGGAGAUAGAACUACUGGCUUUAAUGUACUCCACUGUAAUCGGAGAGGUAAAAUCCGCCAUCUUCGACCUGCAAUCUAUUCCACUGCUAAAUACAGGGAAAUAGAGUCUGUUUUCAAUCCACUUCCUACCAAUAUAGGAAGGCAGGAUCUACAAUCUUCAAUCUAUUCCACUGCCAGAUACAGGGAGAUAGAGUUAUCGGCUUCAAUGUACUCCACUGUAGUCACAGGGAGGUAAAAUCUGCCAUCUUCGAUCUGCUUCACUGCCUAAUACAGGAAGGCAAGAUCUGCAAUCUUCAAUCUAUUCCACUGCCAGAUACAGUGAGAUAGAGUUAUCGGCUUCAAUGUACUCCACUGUGGUCAGGGAGGUAAAAUCUGCCAUCUUUGAUCUGCUUCGCUGCCAAAUACAGGAAGGCAAGAUCUGCAAUCUUCAAUCUACUUCACCACCAGUAUGGGAAGACAAGAUCUGCAUCUUGGAUCCACUUCCUAUCAAUAUAGGAAGAUAGGACCUGCUAUCUUCGAUCUACUUCACGCCAAUACAUGAAGGCAAGAUCUGCUUUCUGCGAUCUACUUCGCCACCAAUAUGGGAAGACAAGAUCUGCAUAUUGGAUCCACUUCCUAUCAAUAUAGGAAGAUAGGACCUGCUAUCUUCGAUCUACUUCACACCAAUACAUGAAGACAAGAUCUGCUUUCUGCGAUCUACUUCGCCACCAAUAUGGGAAGACAAGAUCUGCAUCUUCGAUCCACUUCCUACCAAUAUAGAAAGAUAGGAUCUGCUACCUUCGAUCUACUUCACGCCAAUACAUGAAGACAAGAUCUGCUUUCUGCGAUCUACUUCGCCACCAAUAUGGGAAGACAAGCUCUGCAUCCUGGAUCCACUUCCUAUCAAUAUAGGAAGAUAGGACCUGCUAUCUUCGAUCUGCUUCACGCCAAUACAUGAAGACAAGAUCUACUUUAAUGACUUCAAUCCCUCCCAUUGCAACUUCAAGGGUAUAGGAUCUGUUUCUUUGAUCUGUUCUCUGGGGAAUAUGACCUGUAAAAUCCAUUUUAUGGACCUAUUUAUGCCUAGUGUUUAGGAUGGCAUGAUCAGAAUGAAUCAAAUGCUUCUAACUAGAUGUGUAUGAAUGAAUGCAGAAUGUCAUGAGAAUGAUCCAUUUUUAAUGUUUGAGUUGUCAUUGCUCAUGUUUUAUCACUGACGUGUUACAACGCCUUCUUGCUCGGCUGGCAUAUCCAAAGAAACACUUAGUCAGAUUGCCCCCACUGCGAACGUCAAAGUUUAAUCCACUGGGACAUAAAAUUUGUACCAUCAAUCUCCCACCGUAAACUAAGGGUAGAAGGAUAUGGCUUUUUCUCGAUCCUCUACUAUCACAAUUCAAGGAUACAGAAUGUGAAACUCUUUGAUCUCCUACACCAUUCCCAAGGUGUCAUACCAAAUGUUUAUGUACAAAUGCAAAAUUUCCUUCUCCGAGAAAACCUUUUCUUAUUACUUGGUGAACAUCGCUUGUUUGUUCAUUGAAGCUUUGCCACCAACACGACAUCUUGUCAAUGUUUGGACAACAAAAUUUGAAAGGAUAGUCCCGACUUGGACUCUUCCUUUUUGGACACUUUGAAUUUGGUGUGCUCUAAACAACAGUCCUGUUUCAGGCUCCUUCAUUAUUUAGAAAUUUCUAGAGUAAUAUGCAAAACUCCAAUUGCUUGAACAUUCAGUUUAUUAAUAGUUAUUCUAAAUGUUUUUCGAGAAGGUUACCACAACGAACAAACAAAUGUUAUUAAGAACAAAUCUCGAGAUGAAUGAGUUAAUCGAGAUAGCAAAUUUUGCUAAGGUAAAAAAUGAAAUAAGACAAUAGACAAGAAUGAAAUUUUAUUGGGGAGCAAAGCUUGAACUGAAUACAAUAAUCAAGACAACAAGUUUUGCCAAGAUUCAAAGUAUAAGAUGACAACAGGUGCCCCAGAUAUCACAGCACGAGCUUCCCUGCACAAGUUUUCUAAAGACCAUUUAAUAUGUGUUUGGAAUCUACAGUAUUUUGUCGAUACCCCAAGAUGUCACCUACUCCUUCUUGCGAUUCAGGUGUAGUAAGACCACCACAUGCCUCAGAUCCUGCUCAAAAAUUCGAGCCGUACCUCACGCUUCAAAAUUCGAGCCGCCUUUUUCAGGUUUUCAACUCAAAUCCCCUUUGGUCUCAAGGUGCCUUUUGCGGGUUUUCACCUUGGCCUCUCCCAUUUUUUUUUUUUUUAAGAAUGCCCCCUUUUUAAGUGAAAUACUUCUUGACUGAGUCUGAAUUUACAGGAUUUGACAGGCUUUUACCAUCCAUUUCGCUCAGGAUUAAAGCUCCUCUUGAAAAGGCCUUUUUUACCACAUAAGGACCUUCCCAAUUUGGCAUCCACUUUCCUCUAAAAUCCUUUUGUAGAGGAAGAAUCUUUUUCAGCACCAGGUCCCCCUCGUAAAAUUCUCUGGGACAAACUUUUUUGUUGUAAGCUCGCAUCAUUCGUUUCUGAUACAUCUGACCAUGACGAAUAUCUUUUAACCUCUUUUCUUCUACCAAGUUUAACUGGUCAUAUCUGGAUUGAAUCCAUUCAGCCUCAUCCAACUUUAGUUCAGUUAAUACUCGGAGAGAAGGAAUUUCAACUUCUAUGGGUAAAACUGCUUCCAUCCCAUAGACUAAAGAAAAUGGUGUUGCCCCGGUAGAGGUUCUAACAGAAGUACGAUAUGCCAGGAGAGCAAAAGGUAAUUUCUCGUGCCAAUCUUUGUAGGUUUCAGUCAUUUUUCCUAUAAUUUUCUUGAUGUUUUUGUUAGCUGCUUCCACGGCACCAUUCAUUUUUGGACGGUACGGUGACGAAUUGUGGUGUCUGAUCUUGAACUGACUACAAACUUCCGCUAUUGAGUUGUUGUUUAAGUUCAGCGCAUUAUCGGAUAUGAUCCUUUCAGGCAUCCCGUAUCGACAUAUGAUCUCUUUUUUCAGAAACUUGCUAACUGCCGACUUCGUGACAUUUGCAUAUGAAGCCGCCUCCACCCAUUUAGUGAAGUAAUCAAUAACCACAAAGAUAAAACGAUGCCCAUUGGAAGCUUUUGGAGAUAUUGGCCCGAUAACGUCCAUUCCCCACAUGGAGAAAGGCCAUGGAGAAACCAUAACAUGAAGGGGUGAAGGUGGUGCGUGCAUUUUGUCACCAUAAAUUUGACAUUUAUGGCACCUCUUGGCAUAAUUAAUGUAAUCCCCUUCCAUGGUGGACCAAUAGUACCCAAAUCUCAUAAUUUGUCUGGUCAUCGUGAAGCCAUUGGCAUGCGUUCCGCAGAUACCUUCAUGCACUUCUUCCAAAAUUUCCUUUGCCUCAACAGCAUCCACACACCUUAACAGUACUUGAUCUUUUCCUUUUUUAUACAAAAUUUCCCCAUCAAGGACAUAGUCAAUGGCUAAUCUCCUUAAUGUCUUCUUAUCAUUUUCUAUCGCAUGGUCAGGGUACUCGCGACUCUUCACAUAUCGCAAUAUGUCAUGGUACCAAGGGUGAUCAUCCUUUCCCUCUUCAUUGUCAAUGUGCAACAAUGGGCUGGAACCUCAUAGAUGCUGAUCUGGAUAGGCUUCAUAUAUUCUAAUUUGUUCACUUUAAACAUGGAGGCUAAAGUGGCCAAAGCAUCUGCCAUCUGAUUUUCAUCUCGUGGGAGGUAACUAAAGGUGACACUAUCAAAUUCCUCGAUCAAUUCCAUAACCAAUUUUCGAUAGCGAACCAACUUCGGGUCUCUUGUUUCCCAUUCCCCCUUGAGCUGGUAAAUUACUAAUGCAGAGUCCCCGUAUACCUCUAGCACCUUAAUUUUCCGCUUUAUGGCUGCCCGAAUGCCCAUAAUGCAAGCUUCAUACUCAGCCAUAUUAUUUGUGCAGUCAAAGUCCAAUUUGCUAGUGAAAGGAUAAUAAUCUCCACUAGGGGACACGAGUACUGCCCCAAUUCCGUUGCCUAUAGCAUUUGAAGCUCCGUCAAAACUCAACUUCCAAGGACCACCUUCUUGGAAAUCUUUCUUUACGGUUGCGGCAUACAUCAAAUCCUCAUUUGGGAAAUCGAAGUUCAAUGGCUCAUAAUCAUCGAGAGCCCUACUUGCUAGGAAUUCCGCUAUUGCACUCCCUUUGACCGCCUUCUGGUUCACAUAGACUACGUCAAAUUUAGAUAGAAGAAUUUUCCAUCGAGCCAUUCUUCCAUUCAGAGCGGCUGACUCCAUCAAGUAUUUCAGAGGGUCUAAUUUGGAGAUUAACCAGGUCGUAUAGUACAACAUGUACUGUCUCAGUCUCCGAGUUGUCCAAAUUAAAGCACAACAUAAUUUCUCGAUUGGCGAAUAUCUUAUUUCGCAUUCGGUGAACUUCUUACUGAGAUAGUAGAUCGCUCUUUCCUUUCGUCCUGAUUCGUCAUGUUGACCAAGCACGCAUCCCAUGGAAUUUUCAAAUACUGCCAAAUACAGUAUGAGCGGUUUGUCUGGGCAGGGUGGCAUCAGUACUGGGGCGUUGGAUAAGUAAUGUUUGACUUUUUCAAAAGUUUUUUGACAUUCCUCAUCCCAUACACCUGGAUUAUGUUUCUUGAGGAGGCGAAAUAUGGGGUCGCAUUUCUCAGUUAGCUGUGAGAUGAACCGAGCAAUAUAGUUCAGCCUUCCUAGAAAACCUCGAACCUCCUUUUGAGUACGCGGCGGGGGUAAUUCUUGUAUUGCUCUUACUUUGUCAGGAUCAAUCUCAAUUCCUCUUUCACUGACCACGAAUCCAAGUAAUUUUCCUGAUCUGACCCCGAAUGUGCAUUUUGCUGGAUUUAGCUUUAGCUGAAAUUUCCUCAAUCUCGUAAAUAAUUUCUUAAGGACCUGCACAUGUUCCUUUUCUGUUUUAGAUUUUGCAAUCAUGUCAUCAACAUAGACUUCUAACUCCUUAUGCAUCAUGUCAUGGAACAGUGUUCCAUGGCCCUCUGAUACGUUGCCCCUGCAUUUUUCAACCAAAAUGGCAUCACCUUAUAACAAAAAGUUCCCCAUAGGGUUAUGAACAUAGUUUUCCUCAUAUCCUCGGGAUGCAUCUUAAUUUGGUUAUAUCCCGAGAAGCCAUCCAUGAAAGAAAACAGUGAAUGUCCUGCUGUAUUGUCUACCAAGGCGUCGAUAUGCGGCAAGGGAAAGUUAUCUUUUGGGAUAGCCUUAUUUAGAUCUCUAUAAUCCACACACAUUCGUACCUUCCCAUCUUUCUUAGGGACAGGAACAAUGUUAGCUACCCACUCGGAGUAUUUGACCACCUUCAGGAACCCAGCGUCAAAUUGCUUUUGCACCUCUUCUUUUAUUUUUAACACGAUAUCAGGCCUUAUUCUUCGGAGUUUUUGCUGAACUGGUUUGCAAUCCUCCUUUAUAGGAAGUCGGUGAACCACGAUGUCAAUACUUAACCCCGGCAUAUCUUGGUAUGACCAUGCGAAGACAUCUUUGAACUCUCGCAGCAAUUCAAUGAGGUAUUGUUUUACUUCUUCAGCUAUGCGGAUACCAAUCUUUAACACCUUUCCCUCUUCCAAGAUCACUGUCUCUAUCGUCUCUUCGUGGGGUAGAAUCUGUUUCUCUUCCUGCUCUACCAUUCUCAACAAGUCCGGAGAUAGGUUGCAAUCUGUGUUAUCUUCAAAAUCUUGAGAUUCCUCUGGACACAUAUCUCGUUCAAAAAGAUUUUCUAAGUCCAUAGUAGAGUCACUCAUAUCAUUGAUAUCUUGGGACCUGUUAUAGGUAUCAAAGAAUGUACAGGGAAUGUAUGAAUUUAAGGAUUCUUAUUUAGUAUGACCAUGAAUGUAUGAAAAAAAGAAUUUGAAAAGAAUAUAUACUCAAAAUGCGAAGAUAUAUUUCAUUGAAAUCACAAUGUCCACAUAUAAGCCUAUUUCAGUUCACAAAAGUUUUCAUUUUCUCUAGGCUUAGAAUAAUUAAUGUUUUGAAUAUUACUCUGGAAAAGCUCUAAAAACUUCAGGCAUUUCUUCCGCAGUCCAAUUGUUUAAAACACUCCCAGGUUCAACGGGAUAGAUGCCUGACGUACUUCCUCCUUCAAAUUCUUCUUCACAUAUGGCAUUGAUGCUUAAGUUUCUUAACAUUUCCUCUGCGGUCUUCUUUCUUGGAGCCCUCAGUUCAGAAUACAUAGUUCCUCCCGACAUGAAUGUCCUGGAUAUGUGGGGGAAAGCCAUAGGUUCCCAGUCGACUUCUUUUCCGUUCAAACGCGCCUUCCUUCUAUCUUGUCUCUUUUCUAACUCUUUCCUUCUCUGUUUGGUAUUUGGUUUAAAUCCUAAACCAAAACGAUCUUGUUUGUAUUUCACUACUGGUGCCCCCAUCCUUCCCUGAAGGCAUCUUCCAAGUCCUCUUCCAGGCACAGCUCCUUUCCCAACUGUCGCUUGUAAUCCCAUCCUUGUGGCUUUAGACAUGCUGGGCGUCGGAAUCUUCUUUCCCCCUAUGACAAAGGUUGCAUUUACGAACUCCAAAGAUCGAAAAGAACAUUCAACUGCCUCGUCGUCUAUUCCCAAAUAUGGUGUAUCAUUGGUUACCAAUGCAAUGAUAUCUUCCUCGGCGUCAAUUGUAAUUAACCGGCCUUCUAUUACCAAUUUUAACUUCUGGUGCAAUGAUGAAGGCACCGCCCCUGCCGAAUGAAUCCAGGGUCUUCCUAAUAAGCAAUUAUAUGACGGCUUGAUAUCCAUCACUAGGAAGUCCACAUCGUAUGUAUUUGGGCCAAUUAAAAGAGGUACUUCUAUUCUUCCUAUCACCUUUCUUUCGGUACCAUCAAAUGCUCUCACUAUAUUUUGGCAUGAUCUCAUGUGAGAGUUAUCCACCGGUAACCUACUUAAGGUAGAUAGGGGUAAAACAUUCAAGGCUGAUCCAUUGUCAAUUAGCACUCCAGCUAACAUAUACUCCCCGCAACGAGCAGUGAUGUGUAAUGCUUUGGUAGAUCCUCUUCCCCCUGGCGGUAUUUCAUCAUCAUUAAAAAAGAUGAAAUUAUUGGCAUUGAUAUUAUUAACCAAGCGGUCUAACUUAUUCACCGAGAUAUCUUUAGUGACAUAAGUUUCAUUUAGCACCUUAAUCAACGCAUUACGAUGUAUCUCUGAACUUAUAAGCAACUCAAGUACGGAGAUACGAGCCGGUUGCUUAUGUAAUUGUUCUACCACGCUGUACUCGCUAUGUUUCAAGAAUUUUAGAAAUUCAUUGGCUUGAUUUUCAGUUACCGGCUGAUUGACACUCGAUUCAAUUUCGUCUGUUUUUGUUUUUCCUAGCUCAACUGCUAAAGCUUUUUCUUUUCCAGAUUCCACUAUCGCGUCUGCCGGAUCAUAGCGCUUUCCACUUCGUGUAUAGAAUCCUUCCUUCUUUUUUGAAGCAUUUACCGAGCUCUCUUUUCCUGGAAUCGUCACAUUGCAAUCGUAACUCCAAGGAACCUUUUUGUUACCCUUGUAAGGAAAGGAUACAGGUUUUUGGAUUAUAACUUUUGGCCCUAUUUGUAUUCCAGAUUCUUUGUUCAUUGGCUUUGAAAUGAUAACCACUGGAUGACAAAGCUCUUGGGUUCUCCUUGCAGAUCCUUCUCCUGUAGCACAAACUUCUUCCUCUUUUAACCCUUUGAUUUCUUCAUAAAACUCCAUUUCUUUGCUAUCCAUAAAGUUUUGCACCACGAUUCUGAACUCGGUGCAUUCCUGGAUGUCAUGAUCUUCUUCUGCGUGGAACUUACAAAAUCUCUUUGCUUGUUCAGGCCUUUCUAUCGAAUCUUGCUUGAUAAGACCUCUUUUUACCAUUUGUUUCCAAACCCAUCCAAGAGGGGUUUUUAUCUCUGCCACGUUGGCUUUGACUCUUCUUCCUUCAUUCUCACUUAUCGCGUUUACCCUAUUAUCGUCAUGAUUGGGCAACGGAUUUUCUGCUACAUUUGGCCCUGAUGAGUCGCCAAUCUUUACGAUCCCCAUAUUGAUAAGUUUCUCCACUAACUUCUUGAAUGCAGUGCAGUUCUCAAUCGAGUGCCCCUUAAUCCCCGCGUGGUACUCGCAUUGGGAGUUUAUGUCAUACCAUUUGGGGUACGGAGGUUGCAUGGGUUUUAGGUAAAAUGGAGAUACCACAUGUGCAUCAAAUAAAUUCUGAUACAAUUCUUUAUACGUCACCGGGAUGGGUGUGAAUUGAGGUCUUUCUAUAUUUGGCCUUGAAUUGGACUCCCGUCUCGAAGAACCUUGCUGAUUAGUGGUUGUUGCUCUGGCUUGUCCCACCGUGAUUGAUCUAGAAUGGUCCUUGUUAAACAUGUUUGUGUUGUUUAUCUCAUGCUCCUUCUUUCUCAGUGCUGACCUUUUAGCACUUUCUCCUGCUUCUAUCUUGCCACUCCUUAUGGCAUUUUCUAUCAUUUCUCCAGACAUCACUAUGUCUGAAAAGCUUUUGGUGGCACUACCCAGCAUGUGAUUGAGAAAUGGAGCUUUCAAAGUAUUGAUAAAAAGCAUGGUUAUCUCUUUUUCUAAAAGUGGUGGUUGAACUUGUGCUGCUACCUCCCUCCAUCUUCGAGCAUACUGGCGAAAGCUCUCAUUAGUUUUCUUUUCCAUAUUUUGCAAUACAAUUCGAUCGGGUGCUAUGUCCAUCACAUGUCUGUAGUGUUUUAUAAAGGCCUGCGCCAAAUCUUUCCAAGAGUGGAUUUCAGCUCGACUCAAUUGAUUGUACCAUCUAACAGCUGACCCGAUCAAACUAUCCUGAAAACAGUGAACCAACAGCUGCUCAUUGUUGAUGUACCCGGUCAUUCUUCGGCAAAACAUAGUGAUAUGAGCAUCGGGACAACUUGUCCCGUCAUAUUUUUCAAACUCCGGCAUUUUAAACUUAGGAGGGAGGAUUAAAUCAGGCACCAAGCUCAGAUCUUUAGCAUCCAUUCCUCGGUGGUAAUCAGCACUUUCCAUGGCCUUAAACUUUUCCUCCAGCCAUUUACAUCGGUCUUCCAAUUGCUUUGAUAGAUCCACUUUCGUAUUUUCCACUUCUGCCACGUCAUCGAGGUCAGGGACUAUGAGAUUGGUGGGAUUCUCUCCGGAAUUGUUACUUAUUCCGAUUGGAGGACUCGUUUGGAAUUGUUGGGGUCUAAUUGUAACAGAGGGUCUUUGUUGAUACAUUUCAGCUUGAGUAUGCGCGUGCAGAGGGGUAAAGCCUGGAGGGUAAAGGGGUUCAUCACUAUUUCCAUCUUCAACAUUAACAAUAGGGUCCUUUCCCUUGUCUUUUCCUCCUUUCAACAGUUGCGUUAACUUUGCCAUCAUGUCGUCUUGGGAUUCUCGCAUCUCUCGCUGAAUCUUUUCCAACCGCUCUUCUAUCUGAUCUUGCAUAUCUCUUUGGAGCUGCUCAAGUUUUUCUAGUCUUUGAUCCAUGUUUCUUGACUUCGCUCGAGUUCCGUAAGAGUGACGGUUUUCCAGGUUAACUGAAAUAAUUUUAUUUAGUUAGGGUCUUUUAAUGGUCAUUAAUGCAUAUAAUGCAAUGCAUGAAAUGAAUGCAAAAGGCGUUAAUUCUAGUUCAAUUUCAUUAUGAAAACUUUACUAGAAAAUAAACUUUUUUACAUAAGGUGGAUUACAUAUACGACUUAGCCCUAAAACUCAAAAUUCUAAUCCUCCUAAGCAACGAGUCUAGCUCCUGUCCUCGACUCGACUCUAAUUCGUACUUCACGCUUAACACAUCAGCUUGUACUGCUAACGUCUGCAAGUGAUCAGCCACCUCUCGGAUUUGAAGCACGGCUUCUCCCAUGAUUUGAUCUCUAUCUCUUACUUGGUUCUGAAAGUAGUGCAACUGCUCGGUUUGACGAUCUUCAUUAGAUCUCAUGUGCUCAAUCCGCAUCUCGCAACUUCCCAAUGCUGCUUCUAACUCUUCAAUUCUUCGUUUCAUCUCUUCAAUUCUACUUAGGCUUACUUUUAAUUCCAUCACAGAAUUUCGAUUUCGAUGCCGAUAGAGAGAUUCUUCUAACUCGGACACUCUAUUUUCUAGUUCCCCUUUUUCUUUCUGAUUCUCUGACAGACUCUUCUUUAAAGUCUCGUUCUGGGUUUGAACUUCUUGAAACCUUGUUUCCCAUCUAUCAGCUUUGUUCUUUUCUUCUUGAACUUCCUUGCGCCAUUGUUCAGAAGUCUUUCCCAACCCGGCGGUUCUCAUUGAUGAUCGCAACUUCUUGUAAUCUGUUUUCAGACUGUUCAGAUCUUCUUCAGCCCUAGCUUUUCCUUUUCUUAAUCGCUCCAUCUCGAGCUUCUGGACAUCUACAUCCAACCUUAAGUUUGUUUUUUCUUCCUCCAUUUGCUCUAUCUGUUUUUCCAACUCUGCAUUUCUUCUUUCAAAAUCUUGCUUCAAAAUUUCUAGUUCAGAAAGGAUGACCCGUAAGUGCUCCUCUAUCGAAUGACUGCCUUCGAGGCUUGAUUUGGGGACAUUGUCAUUGAUUCUUCUGACCCUCCAUUCUUUAUAUUCGGGGGUUGUCAUUGGUCCUACAGCUAAUCGCUUCAUUUGGCGAGUCUGAUUCCACGCAUUGGAUAUCUCUCGAAUCCUCUUUUUGUAGCCAUCACCCCCAUACGAGAAUUCACACUCGGCCAGCCCCUGGGUUGCGGGUAUAAACUGUCUUGAUCUGUACUGUCUGAGCACUAAUAACGGGGCAUAGCCAAUAGCUCCCCAGAUUCCAAGCAAAGGGACCCAAUCAAAACUACCACAUCGGUACAAAAUUUCGUCUGGAAGUAACCACGGAGCUCUCCAUUCAAUGUCUUCUUCAUGCAAGUUUUGAAGAAUUGCCAUCCAUUUUUCCAUUGAAAUGUCGUCCCUUCUCGGUGUAGCUAUCGUCUCCUUUAGCGGCGAAUAGUUUUCAGAGAAGACCCGAUAUGACACCUUAUCCACUUUCCAAAAAUGACUGUGGAACCACGCAAGUAGCAACUGUGCACAUCCAAUGAACCUGCCUUCGCCCGCUCGCCGACAGGUACUCAAUGAUCUGAAUGUCUCCGCUAAAAUUGCUGGAAUCAGGGUAACUCCUUUAUCAAGGCGGUCGAACAAAUCAGUAACCGCCUCAUCAAUAUGCCCCAAAGCUCUAGGAAAGAUAACUAAGCCAUAUAUGCUUAGGGCGAAGAUAUCUACCCUAUUUUUUAUAUCCGGGUGCACCAAAGCCACAUCUUUCAAACUCCUCCAAGAAAUGCACUUGUUAUCCCCUUUUUGUUUAAUUCGGGCCGUAACCCACUGCUCACUCAUGCCUGUUAUGUUCAUUAACCUUCUCAAAAAGGGUACAUUUGCGGCUCUUGAGUAGAUUCUGUCGACUUGACUCUUUGAACACCGAAGUAAAGCCAUAUAUUCUUCUAUCGUAGGCACCAAGUCAACUUUCCCGAACGAAAAACAACUAUAGGCGGGAUUCCAAAAUUGUGCGAGAGCCCGGAAUAGGUGCUUAUCUACCUUCAUAUCUAGCAGGUACGGCAAGUCCCCGUAAUGGGAAUAAAACAACUGUCUGGCCUCCUCGUCCCAAUGGUCCCAAAUUCCUUUCAACUCUUGUAAAUCGUUCUGGGUUAUGCUAAUGCGGGUAAAGUCCCAUAGCUCUGAUAUAUAUCCUUCAGCCAAACUAUCCCCUUUCUCUUGUUGUGUCGUUUCCGACCAAAUUCGGACUGCCGCAUUAUCUUCCACCUUAUCAAGAAACCUUCUUUCCAUGAUAAGCUUUCUUUCUAGAAACCGAAUAUGAACCAACGCCUUGAAAUAAUGAAAUGCCAUGCAGUUGAAAUGUCAUGCAUCCAAAGUAAAACAACAAAUAUCAGUACCAGAUAUAAACAUAUAAUCCAAGAUAAUUCAAAAAGAAUAAAAGCACAUCAGGGUAUUUACUAGGGUUUGGUGUAGUUCUACUUAAGGUGAGUUCCUAAGGUUUACUACAUGGGGUUUGGUUCUAAAGCAAAGGUACCCGAACCAGCAGAUUCCUCGAUCUUCACCCAUUAUAGUCUCAUAUAGACCGAGUUCGGUUUAGGGGAAUACAUUUCCCUAUGGCUGCACGGAGAUGAAAAUCUCACGAAGACAUAGGUACGGAUGUAUCCCGAAAGCGAUCCACUAUCCUGCACGGAGGUGAAAACCUCACGAAGGAGUAGCUUCUCACUCCCACUUAAAAGGUGUGACCAACGGUCAUGCAAUGCAAUGCAAAGAUAUAAAAGUUUAAAAUACGAAACAUGAUGAAAACUAUAGCUCAAAACAAAUGAAAUGCAAUGAGAAGAUCGUAUAUUUAAAUCAAAUUUUCAACUUUCGACAAAAAGACAAAAAAUAAUCAACUCGUGGCUUGACUCACUUAUUUUGAAAAAGUCCCCAGUGGAGUCGCCAAGCUGUUGACACCAUUUUUUGGAUGAAAACGGGGUCGACUUGGAUUUUGGAAAAAAAAGAAUAAAAACGGGAGUCGCCACCAAUCCUUUUUUGAUGAGGUGUGAUUGGGUCACCUCAAAAGGUGGUUGUUUUUAAUAAAUGAUUUAAUUUUAUUAAAACAACGAUUUUGGUCUACGAAAUUCAGAAAAAUGAGUUCGGGAGUCGGUUACGCACGAGGAAGGAUUAGCACCCUCGAUACGCCCAAAAUUGGUACCUAGUUGAUUAAUUAGUGUCUUAGUGUCGAAAAUUUGAAAACUUGAAAGAAUUUAAAAUACGAUCCCUCUUUGUAAAGAAAAUGCUCAAAUGUUAAGGACCUUCUCGUCUCACAAUAUAAAAUGUCACAUCCAGUAAGUUAGGACACGACAUCUUGAAUUUUCGAGAACGAGCUUGCCUUUUAUAUAAAAAUUCGUGUAUUUCAAAAGGUUAUUCAGUUAGUUAAGGUGAACGAGGAAAAUCGAAACCCAGUAAGUUAGGGCACGUUUCCUCGAAUUCCCAAACACCGAAUAUUGCCUUUACUUGCAAAAAUCUUAUUUCGAGGUAACGAAAUGCCAUACCCAGUAAGUUAGGGAACAACACCUCGUAUCUCCGAGAAUAAGCAUUUUUCAAAACUCAUGUCACGAUUUAAAAGAGUAUUCCGUUAUUUAGGUUAAAGGAGAAAAAUCGAAACCCAAUAAGUUAGGGCACGAUUGUCUCGAAUUACCAAAUACGGAAUAUUACUUUUAUGAAAGAAUUAUUAUUGGGUUGGAUAUAAUGAUAAUAAGAAUAAUAUUAAAGUAAAGUAAACAAUAAUACUAUAUAUAAAUGUAUAUAUAUAUAUGUAUAUAAUAGAAAUACACACUACUAUAUAAUAAUAAUAAAUAUAGAAAUACAAAAAGCAAAUAUAAUAAAAAUAUUAAAUUAAAGUAAUAAAAAAUAAUACUAUAUAUAAAAUAUAUAUAUACAUAAAAAUAUACACUAAUAUAUAAUAGUAAUAGUGAUAGCAAAAAUAAUAAAAAUAUAAGUAAUAUUAAUAAUAUAUUAGAAUACAAAAGUAAAGUAAUAACAAUAGGGGUGAUAAUAAUAAUAAUACAAACAAUAAUACAUAUAUAUAAUAAUAGUAGUUAGAAAUAAAAAAUAAUAAAAGUAACAAUAAUGAUAGUAAUAAUAUAAAUAAAUAUGGAGAGGGCAUAUAUAAUAUAAUAAUAUAAAAAAAAUAAUAUAUACAUGAGAAAUAAUAAUAAUAAUAUAAAUAAUAGUAAAAAUAAUAAAAUAAUAAAACAAAGCUCUCAACUCUCUUUCUCCCUCUUUUCUAAAUCCGGCCGUUGGUCCGGCUUUGCUUCGGUCAUGGACCCCCACGGGCCGCCAUCGGCGCCACCGUACACGGCGGCCGGACCUCAAAAAAACCUUUUUCGAUAAUGAAAAUAUAGGUAAGCUUCUUACUUUUAUUUUUACUUUCGUAUAAAAAAACAAAAUAAAAUUGAAAGGAAAACAAUAAACAAACAAAGAACUAAAGAUAAGAAUAGACAAAAGAAACCUCUUUUGCUUUGAUCUUUGAUUAAUCUCCAAAAACUAGCCUUUCCAAGAAACAAAAAUAACCUUUUUUACAAAAAAACACCUCCAAAAAACAAAAAAAAACCUCCUCCAAAACAAAGAAUAAUCCUUCUCCAAAAAACCAAAAACCCACCCCUAAAAACAAAGUCUUGAAUGGCUUUUAUAGCCAAAUUUUACAAGUGGAGUGGUUGGGGUGGUUUAGGUGGCCAAGGGUGGUGGAGUUGGUGGCUAAGGUGGGUGGCCAACAAAGGUGGUGGAGUAGGUGGCCAAGGUUUUUAUUUAUUUAUUUAUUUAUUUUUUGUGUUUG